RNAcentral lists this ribosomal RNA (207 nucleotides) under uncultured bacterium. Its description in RNAcentral is "partial 16S ribosomal RNA". It matches the Rfam family "Bacterial small subunit ribosomal RNA", at positions 568 to 774 of the family's 1533-position model. The record is from RNAcentral.
AGCGUAGACGGCAAGGCAAGUCUGAUGUGAAAACCCAGAGCUUAACCCUGGGACUGCAUUGGAAACUGUCUGGCUCGAGUGCCGGAGAGGUAAGCGGAAUUCCUAGUGUAGCGGUGAAAUGCGUAGAUAUUAGGAAGAACACCAGUGGCGAAGGCGGCUUACUGGACGGUAACUGACGUUGAGGCUCGAAAGCGUGGGGAGCAAACA